UGGGGAAUAUUGGACAAUGGGGGCAACCCUGAUCCAGCCAUGCCGCGUGAGUGAUGAAGGCCUUCGGGUUGUAAAGCUCUUUUGGCGGGGACGAUGAUGACGGUACCCGCAGAAUAAGCCCCGGCUAACUUCGUGCCAGCAGCCGCGGUAAGACGAAGGGGGCUAGCGUUGUUCGGAAUUACUGGGCGUAAAGCGCGUGUAGGCGGUUGCCAAAGUCGGGUGUGAAAGCCUUGAGCUCAACUCAAGAAUAGCAUUCGAUACUUGGUGGCUAGAGGACCGGAGAGGAUAGUGGAAUUCCCAGUGUAGUGGUGAAAUACGUAGAGAUUGGGAAGAACACCAGUGGCGAAGGCGGCUAUCUGGACGGUUACUGACGCUAAGACGCGAAAGCGUGGGGAGCAAACA
Molecule: ribosomal RNA, 402 nt
Filed under: uncultured bacterium
Lineage: Bacteria
Description: bacterial SSU rRNA
Rfam family: Bacterial small subunit ribosomal RNA
Source: RNAcentral